CACUGUUGUAUUUACAGAAGUUGUAUGAGAAUAAGCUACAGGUUGAUUUAUACUAAUCUGUUAUUUUUCUUUUUUAGCACGACUGACUGAAGUUUUAAAAUCAUGCAACGUCAUGAAGCAGCAGCUGGUCCUGAUUCUCACAAAACCAAAACAGACGUGAUGAAAUUCCAGAUGUAAACACAUUUGACCGUCCUUUGGCCAAUUUGAUUUGGAAAAGCUUGAAAAUCAACUAAAGGAGCAGCCCGAACAAAUGAAGAAACUGAUGGAGUGAGGACAAAUGUCCAUACCACGCCACUGAUAAAGAAGUGGAAAAAUGCAUUACAAGGUAGCUACAACUUGCCCCUGACAGUGAUGGAGGAAGAAAGAAGAGAAAGCUAAUGUGUCAAAUGUCUACAUCACUAUUUUGUUUUAUUUUUUAAACAACAUUUUAAGUGUAUUAGGAUGUUCCCUGAUACUUGAACAAUUGGUUUCUUUCAUUUGCAUUUAUAUAUAUAUAUGUAUAUGUAUAUAUAUAUAUAUAUAUAUGUGUGUGUGUGUGUGUAUAUAUGUAUGGUAUGUAUGUGUGUGCGCCAAAUUCUAAAGAAACAUCUUGAUACAUUUUUAAUAAACGUAAUACAAAUAAAAUUAUAAAUAAAAAAUUGCACAAGACAUGUAUAUAUAUGAAAUGCAUAAUCAUCUCACUCAUGUCUUGCUGUUUGUGCAAUUGAUUUUGUUC
This 715-nucleotide long non-coding RNA is filed under the name Danio rerio (zebrafish). RNAcentral's name for it is "lncRNA si:ch1073-249f22.1 (ENSDARG00000093463.3)". Lineage: Eukaryota; Metazoa; Chordata; Actinopteri; Cypriniformes; Danionidae. The record is from RNAcentral.